This 28-nucleotide non-coding RNA is filed under the name Rattus norvegicus (Norway rat). Lineage: Eukaryota; Metazoa; Chordata; Mammalia; Rodentia; Muridae. The record is from RNAcentral.
UAGGUCAAAGAUCCUGACUCGUGCAUCA